Long non-coding RNA from Gopherus flavomarginatus (Mexican gopher tortoise), 636 nucleotides. RefSeq lists it as uncharacterized. Lineage: Eukaryota; Metazoa; Chordata; Testudines; Testudinidae. The record is from RefSeq and is a predicted model, not a curated record. The transcript is spliced from 6 exons.
GCUACACAGAGCGGCCUGGGCGGGCUCCUCAGGCGCAGGCUCCCGCGGCCAAUGGCGCAGCUCCCUCACAGCCCAGUUCUGCGGCCUGCACGCCGCGGCCUGGCCUGGUCCGGCCUGACACCAGCCUCCCUGCUCCCGCGCGCUCCAGCCCCGGGGCCGAUACCUGGCGACGCUGCCGAGCGGGAGCACCGGGCAUUGAAGCUGAAAAGCAAGCUACUUCAGGCUGCCUCAUCAGUUACUUCAAUCUUGACCUCCUAACGUUGCCCUUUUCUAGAAGCAAAUGGCUGGAAUACUGCAGGGAUGGAGGAGGAUCAGAGAUGCUGUCCUUUCUGCUUUGCUCGGAGGGAGUGGAUAUCAAUACCUAAAUUUUCAAAGCUGCGAGCCUUUAAAAUUCUAAUAUUUUCUUUGUUGGUGGACUCAAACCCACAAAUACAACAGCAGAAGAGUAGAACACAGUAUUCGGUGCCAAGCUGCACUGCCUGGUGCUCCUGUGGAUGGCGCCUCAUAUGACAUUUCAAACUAUUCAUAUUUGUUGUGGCGAAGUCACAUACUCGACAUCUGAAGAAAUAACAACAAUUUGAAUGAAGAACUCUUGGGAAUCUAAAGGAGGGACACCCCCCACCCCAAUAAAAAGGC